GGCGAGGGCAAUGCUUUCAGCUACAAUAAAAUCAACCGGUUACGUUUGCUGGUAGCACUCAUAAUGCUGGGGUCGGCGGUUCGACUCCGCCCCUUGCUACCA
RNAcentral lists this transfer RNA (102 nucleotides) under Marinobacter adhaerens HP15. Its description in RNAcentral is "tRNA-Met (CAT) (tRNA-Met-CAT-2-1)". The record is from RNAcentral. Lineage: Bacteria; Pseudomonadati; Pseudomonadota; Gammaproteobacteria; Pseudomonadales; Marinobacteraceae. RNAcentral also lists the same sequence under 1 other name.